AUGUUCAAAAUUUAUUUCUCUUUGUCUCUUCUAUCUCUUGCUUUCAAUUCUCUUCAAAGCUUAAAUCUGUCAUCCCCCAUUUCUCCUUCGUCUUCAUUUCUCCUACCUCUGCUACUCUCAAAAGAUCUGAUUAUUGCUAGAGAAUUUUAUGGUGGUCCGAGUUGUAUCGUUGAUGGCGGUGAGUAUGGUUUUUCCGGUUGUGGAUUCUAUUUUUUUAGUCCGAGUUAUGAUUUUGAGUGGAAGAAAUAUCGUUGGUUUCUGAGAGGUUUGCUGCGAAAGUUGCUGGUUCACAGCAGCAAUCUCAUGCUGAGAGGCUUAAAAGGAUGA
Molecule: non-coding RNA, 327 nt
Organism: Vicia faba (fava bean)
Lineage: Eukaryota; Viridiplantae; Streptophyta; Magnoliopsida; Fabales; Fabaceae
Source: the annotation of a GenBank genome assembly